This 435-nucleotide unclassified non-coding RNA is filed under the name Bartonella clarridgeiae. RNAcentral describes it as "partial may contain 16S ribosomal RNA, 16S-23S intergenic spacer, and 23S ribosomal RNA". The stretch from base 380 to 435 matches the Rfam family "tRNA", at positions 1 to 54 of the family's 71-position model. Lineage: Bacteria; Pseudomonadati; Pseudomonadota; Alphaproteobacteria; Hyphomicrobiales; Bartonellaceae. The record is from RNAcentral.
UGAUAAGCGUGAGGUCGGAGGUUCAAGUCCUCCCAGGCCCACCAGUUACACGAUGCUAAAAGUUGCUAUAUUGGGAGAGUUGAUAAUCCCUUACAGGAAAUUAUUGCCCUUAAUAAAACUUUAUUUUCUAAAAGCAUUCAGAGCUGACAUAGAAUAGAGCUGACAUAGAAUUGAGAAUCUGACAUAGGAAUUAUUGAAAUUGUUUUGGAAUUAUUGAAAUUGUUUUCUAUCAUUUUAAAAGGCUAAAAUAUUCUGUCUCUAUUUUUAAAAUAGCAUCAGGUGUUUUGUAAGAGUGUGAAGUUUUUAAGUGUGAGGUUUUUUAUAUUUUAGUGUGAGGUUUUUAUAAGGGUAUGACGUGAGAGCGUUUUGACCUGUUUUAGGGGCCGUAGCUCAGCUGGGAGAGCACCUGCUUUGCAAGCAGGGGGUCGUCGGUUC